GAUGAACGCUAGCGACAGGCCUAACACAUGCAAGUCGAGGGGCAGCACAAGGAGCAAUCUGAGGUGGCGACCGGCGCACGGGUGAGUAACACGUAUGCAACCUACCUGUAAGAGGGGAAUAACCCGUUGAAAAACGGACUAAUACCGCAUAACACUGUAGAACCGCAUGGUUUGACAGUUAAACAUUUAUGGCUUACAGAUGGGCAUGCGCAUGAUUAGCUAGUUGGUGAGGUAACGGCUCACCAAGGCAACGAUCAUUAGGGGUUCUGAGAGGAAGGUCCCCCACACUGGUACUGAGACACGGACCAGACUCCUACGGGAGGCAGCAGUGAGGAAUAUUGGUCAAUGGGCGAGAGCCUGAACCAGCCAAGUCGCGUGAAGGAUGAAGGUUUUAUGAAUUGUAAACUUCUUUUGCAGGGGAAUAAAGUGUCCGACGUGUCGGAUUUUGUAUGUACUCUGCGAAUAAGGAUCGGCUAACUCCGUGCCAGCAGCCGC
RNAcentral lists this ribosomal RNA (495 nucleotides) under uncultured bacterium. RNAcentral describes it as "bacterial SSU rRNA". It matches the Rfam family "Bacterial small subunit ribosomal RNA", at positions 28 to 518 of the family's 1533-position model. The record is from RNAcentral.